RNAcentral lists this ribosomal RNA (465 nucleotides) under uncultured bacterium. RNAcentral describes it as "partial 16S ribosomal RNA". It matches the Rfam family "Bacterial small subunit ribosomal RNA", at positions 338 to 795 of the family's 1533-position model. The record is from RNAcentral.
CCUACGGGAGACAGCAGUGGGGAAUAUUGCGCAAUGGGCGAAAGCCUGACGCAGCGACGCCGCGUGAGGGAUGAAGGUCUUCGGAUCGUAAACCUCUGUCAGCAGGGAAGAACGGUCACUGUGCUAAUCAGCAGUGAAUUGACGGUACCUGCAAAGGAAGCACCGGCUAACUCCGUGCCAGCAGCCGCGGUAAUACGGAGGGUGAGAGCGUUAAUCGGAAUUACUGGGCGUAAAGCGCUCGUAGGCGGUAGGUCAAGUCAAGGGGGAAAUCCCCGCGCUCAACGUGGGAACUGCCUUUGAAACUGGCAAACUGGAGUGUGUGAGAGGAUAGUGGAAUUCCAGGUGUAGGAGUGAAAUCCGUAGAGAUCUGGAGGAACAUCAGUGGCGAAGGCGACUAUCUGGCACAUAACUGACGCUGAGGAGCGAAAGCGUGGGUAGCAAACAGGAUUAGAUACCCUGGUAGUC